AUAAUUUUUAGUAAUUGAUUUUACCCCAGGAUCCUAACAGUAGGCUUUGGCCUUCACUGAAAGGUCUGGUUAGAUCCAAUGAUUAACAUGAUCAUACUCAGGAAUCAAACCAUAAAUGAUCGGCCUGACUUUGGUUGGUCAUCCUGAUAACCCAUAAGAGAGACUUGACUGAGUCAUCAUAUUAUGAAUGAUAAUUCCAAUAGC
This 204-nucleotide long non-coding RNA is filed under the name Elaeis guineensis (African oil palm). Its description in RNAcentral is "long non-coding RNA (EGUI_LNC050772)". Lineage: Eukaryota; Viridiplantae; Streptophyta; Magnoliopsida; Arecales; Arecaceae. The record is from RNAcentral.